AGAGGUGGGGAUGACGUCAAUCAUCAUGCCCCUUAUGACCUGGGCUACACACGUGCUACAAUGGCUGGUACAACGAGUCGCAAGUCGGUGACGGCAAGCUAAUCUCUUAAAGCCAGUCUCAGUUCGGAUUGUAGGCUGCAACUCGCCUACAUGAAGUCGGAAUCGCUAGUAAUCGCGGAUCAGCACGCCGCGGUGAAUACGUUCCCGGGCCUUGUACACACCGCCCGUCACACCACGAGAGUUUGUAACACCCGAAGUCGGUGAGGUAACCUUUUGGAACCCGCCCCCCAAAGGGGGAUAAAAGAAUGGGGUGAAAUCCUAACAGGGUAACCGUAA
This 336-nucleotide ribosomal RNA is filed under the name uncultured bacterium. RNAcentral describes it as "bacterial SSU rRNA". It matches the Rfam family "Bacterial small subunit ribosomal RNA", at positions 1169 to 1505 of the family's 1533-position model. The record is from RNAcentral.